RNAcentral lists this long non-coding RNA (424 nucleotides) under Chinchilla lanigera (long-tailed chinchilla). RNAcentral's name for it is "lncRNA (ENSCLAG00000027810.1)". The record is from RNAcentral. Lineage: Eukaryota; Metazoa; Chordata; Mammalia; Rodentia; Chinchillidae.
UCCACACCUGGGUCAAACGGGUGGCUUCCCCGUACAGAAAGAAAAGGGCUCUGUGGAAAUAUUUGAUUUAAUUAUUGCUGGCACUCUGCCCAUCAAACUGUGCAAUUCUUCGAAAAGAUGGAAAUGACAGUGAGCGUGCCUCCUUCAGAGCCACUGAGGCUUUUGUUUGAAUACUGUUGUCUUGGAAACAAGCUCGCCACACCCAGCUCGGGAGGGUCUGCUCCUCUAGACACAAGACAGCAGCUGAUUCAAAUCGACCCCAGACACCCGCACAAUGGAGAAAGCACAUUUGGAGCAAAACUCUCCAAAAUCCUCAGCCUGGGUGUUAGGAAGGCUGAUAAGAGACUCGGAUUUCCGGCAAUGUGAGACAUGGGUGUACGCCAAACACAAAAAUUCAACUUUUUACUGCCUGCCUUUCUGUUCC